GGAAAUUUUCUAGUCGAACUUCCAUUUUCAACUACCUCUUUAAUUUCCAACUGUUGUGGCGGUAGUCUUCUUCUUCUUCUCCCUCCUCCUCCUUUACAAUCAUCAGUUUCGAAAAUUCUGGUUAGAAGUUUAAGAAAUCUUUGGUCCCUUCUCCAUCAAAAGCCUUUACUUCAUUGUUGGUCUUCUUCUAAUUUGUACCUUGUUAAUUGUUAUGUUCUGCAACCAUGCAUUCUGAAUCACAGAUGAAGCCCCACUCAAAGAACCAGCAGCAGAGGAGUUGGGCUGAAAUGUGUUGUUUGGAUUGGUCGUGCCUACAGCUCUUCUGGCCCAGAGUCGUCAUGCGCAAAUGGCUCAACAUCUCCGCCAAAGAAUCCGAUUACAGCGCCGACACCGACGCCGAUUCCGACUGUGAUGCCGACUCCGAUACCCAAGAGUUUCCUCAACGGGGAAGAGAAUCAAGGUUUAAAGACAUUAAGGAAGAUGAGUCUGAGAGUGAUGAUGCUAGUGAAGCGCUUCCAAGGGUACGAAGACGAAAGUCAGAGACGUUCAGGGCACAGUAUAUAAACACUAAGGAAUUGAGAGUAUGUGCUACAACAUGGAAUGUCGGAGGAGAAAUUCCACCUGAUGACUUGGAUAUUGAUGGUUGGCUAGAUAUUAAUGAGCCAGCUGACUUUUAUGUGAUUGGCCUUCAGGAGAUUGUACCCUUAAAUGCUGGAAAUAUCUUUGGUGCUGAAGAUAGGCGCCCAAUCACUAAGUGGGAAACAAUUAUUCGUGAAGCACUGGAUAGAGUUCGACCUGCGGCAAGUAAGGUUAAAUCCUUUAGCGAUCCUCCAUCUCCAUCAAAGUAUAAGCCAUCUGGUGAUGUCCCUGAUAUAGAAGAGGAGAUGUUACUCCAAAGUGAUAGUGAUGUUGGUGAAGAAGUGCAUCCAUUGGAUGACGAACCCAAAGAUUUUGGUGACAGCAACGAUACGUCAAUCACUAGUGAAAUAGUGAAUGUUGAUUCUCAAGUUCCAGACUUUAGUGAUAGUAGCAAGCCACGCAUGCCAAUUGGCCAGGAUUUACAAAGGCAAAGUUCUUCUCCAAAGAGAUUAGAUAGGUUAUAUUGCUUGAGGACCGAUGAUUGUUCAUUAGAUGAAGAAACUUCUAGUAUCCAACAAAAUCGAAAGUUAACCAAAAUGCUUAGUGGGUCUGAAAGGAUUGGUUUGAGCUGGCCGGAGCCUCCAUUAAACUUGCUAUCUCAGCACUUGUUAGACAGACGAAAUUCCUUUCGAACAAUGAAGUCUUUCAAGUCCUCUAAGUCUUUCAGAACCCACAAUUCUUUCAAGUCAGCUACGAAUGACGUGACACCAGAAAUAGCUCUGCUUGCAGAGAUUGAUCUUGAGUCUCUAAUGAAACGGAAAAGAAGAUCAUCAUAUGUAAGGAUUGUAAGUAAGCAGAUGGUUGGGAUUUUCCUCACUGUAUGGGUUCGUAGGAGCUUGCGUAAACAUAUUCAGAAUGUAAAGGUGUCUACUGUUGGUGUUGGUGUCAUGGGAUAUAUUGGUAACAAGGGAUCUAUAUCUGUCAGCAUGUCAGUGUAUCAGACGUUUUUUUGUUUUGUGUGCACUCACCUGACAGCAGGUGAGAAAGAUGGAGAUGAAAUAAGAAGGAAUGCUGAUGUGCAUGAAAUACAUCGAAGAACUCACUUUCAUUCAUUUUCUGAUAUUGGACUUCCCAGAAGUAUCUAUGAUCAUGAAAAAAUAAUUUGGUUGGGCGAUCUAAAUUAUCGCCUUAACUUGUCAUAUGAAAAAACACGAGAACUUAUCUCCAAAAAGGAGUGGUCCAAGUUGUUUGAGAACGACCAGCUUGCACGACAAUUUAAGAAAGGUCGUCCAUUUGAUGGAUGGUCUGAGGGUGUUCUGAAGUUUCCACCAACAUAUAAAUAUGAGGCUAAUUCAGAGAAGUACUACGGUGAUGAUCCGAAGACUGGGAGGCGGACUCCAGCAUGGUGUGACCGCAUUCUUUCUUAUGGCCAAGGAAUGAGGUUACUGAGCUAUAGAAGGGCUGAACUUAAACUUUCUGAUCAUCGACCAGUGACUGCCACAUAUAUGGCCGAGGUUGAGGUGUUCUCUUCUAGGAAGCUUCAACGGGCCCUCACAUUCACUGAUGCAGAGAUUGAAAAUGAGGAAAUCUCAAUGGAUAUGGGUGUUGAUGUUGGAAUGAACUGCUUAAAAUUGGAACAAGAUAUUUCUGAUUGGGAGCGUUGAUGGAGGCUAAUGCACUCCAGACUGAGUCAUCAAGCUUGGUGUACUAGGGUUUGGCAACCGAACCAACCCUCUCCGAGGGGGGCUUACAGACCACCAAACCUACAUUGCCAGUGUUGAGUUUUCGGCGGCCAGGUGUACCAUCAGAUAAUCUCUUUUGAGCCCCAAUCUUUUUCAUAGGACCCUAGCAAGAUUAUAUAUUUGGCUUAUUUAUGUACAUCCCCUGUGCUUUCAAACUUGUCUCAGAUUACCACCUAUGUUUGCAAACGUCUCAAAGUACCCCCCAACCUUUUAAAAACGGUCUCACGUUACCCGUUUCGUCAGUUUUUUAGACGAUCUGUUACUAGCGUAGGGCCCCACUUCGUUUUAACAUUUAUCCUCUUCAAACAAGGGCAUCUCAGUUCUAACAAAGAGGGAAAUUGGGUGAGAAGGGGAAAUUGGAGAAGAGGGCCUAGGGUUUGUGAAAAUCUGUGGUUGGCUUCGAUUUUGGGAGAAGUUGGAGAAGAAAUUAAGGGUUUAUAAAACUCUGAGGUGGAGUUUGAAAUUGGGAGAUUGUGGAGUAGAAGAUUUGGGUUGAUGGAAAGAGGAGAGAAGCAAGGCGAAGCAAGGCAUGGCCAAUGGUGUCAUUGUGGGAAGUUAGCACGGAUGCAGACUUCUUGGACCAGUUCAAACCCAGGGCAGAGAUUUCUAGUCUACCCAAAGUUAAAGGAAAGUGGAGAAAAAGGAUGUAGGUUUUUUCAGUGGUUUGAUGCAGAAAUGUAUGAGUGUUCAAAGUCUUUGAUACCUGGUUUGCUGAGGAAGAUUGAUAGGGUGGAGAAGUAAAAUGCAAAGAUUCGAGCAAAGUCAAAAAUAUUGUGGGCUGCUAUGUUGCUUUCUUGCUUAGUGGUGUUUGCCAUGAAGAUGAAUUAGGCACUUUGGCAGUAGUUCAGUGGGAACUGUAAUUUGAGAACAAAUGUUCAUGUAAUGUAAGGCACUUUGGCAGUAGUAGGCACUUUGGCAGUAGUUUAGUGGGCAAAUUUAAUUUGAGAACAAAUGCUAAUCUAAUGUAAGGCACUUUGGCAGUAGUUAUGUUAGUGUAAUGUAAUGUAAUUUGGCGUAAUGUAAUGUAAUGCUAGUUAAGUUUGUUCAUUGUAA
RNA transcript from Prunus dulcis (almond), 3374 nucleotides. It is a transcript of the gene named type IV inositol polyphosphate 5-phosphatase 3, with no coding region annotated. Lineage: Eukaryota; Viridiplantae; Streptophyta; Magnoliopsida; Rosales; Rosaceae. The transcript is spliced from 13 exons. The record is from RefSeq and is a predicted model, not a curated record.